This 1206-nucleotide unclassified non-coding RNA is filed under the name Hevea brasiliensis (rubber tree). The record is from RNAcentral. Lineage: Eukaryota; Viridiplantae; Streptophyta; Magnoliopsida; Malpighiales; Euphorbiaceae.
UUCUUCUUCUUCUUUUGUUACUUGUUUACUCGGAGGAGUUUCUGAUAAUACGGGAUCUGGCAUUGCUCAACGGUUAGGUAAGAUUGUGAAUUUGACUACUUUAUGACCAUGGGAUUCCUACUUUUGUGCUUAUGCUGACAUAAUUUCACGUUUGUUUACAGUGUUAAAGACUGGCCUCAAUAUAAUCUUGGCUUGUAAUAUUCCUAAGAACAGUCCCAUGCUUGAGGUUCUCUGUUUCUCUCUAUCACACACACAUUAAUGCAUGUGAAAACAGCUCUGUGUAUGAAGAGCAAUGGAGAAAUCAAGUUAAUCAACCGCUGGAUUUCAAAAAGAUACUGACAGAUGCUCACUUGUCACUUUCGGGAGUUUCACUCAAUAGUUUUAAUCCAGCUGUUGAAAGCUAAAGCUGACAUGAGCCUUAACCUCUUUUUCAACUUUACUCUUAUAGCGAUCCAUUUGUGCAAAAUCUAUCGAAUAAUGUGGUUGAUUUGGAGGGUUACUUGUUAGUUAAUCAUUGUUUAAAGUUAUCUAAACGAGACAAGAGAGCCAAAUGCCUUUCCAUUGUUCAUAGUUGUUGAUUUUCAUAGAAUCUGUAAUUUUGCAUUAUUGUCAUUUGAGGGAUGAAUGUUUGCUUGGUGAUUGACUACAUAAUGGAAUUCGCCUAUCUUAUGUAUGUAUGAUUCAGCAUACCUGAAGUUCUGUUCAUUGAUUUUUCUUUUUCCCUCUCUUUGUGUUAUUAGGCAAAUGCUUUGGGCUAUACAAACCCAAAAUCCAAAGGAUUAUCUUCAUAGCAGGGAGCUGGAAGGAUCCUCCAAUAUGAUGGUGCACGCCCCCCAUUAGAGUGGUUGAUAUUGCACAAUACGACAGAAUUGUUGAAGAUAUAGAUCAACUAAGGGAGCUUUGAUGGAUAAAGCUUCUAGCUGCUUCAUGUUUUUGCUGCUGAUUUGAAUAGUUCAACAGUAGAUCAUAGGAUAUGACAGAGAAUUCUUCUAGGUUUGUGAAUUAUUUAGCACAUUAUGUGAAGUUUAUGCUUGACUAUGCUGUUUGACUUUAGCUUUCUGCUUUCAUUAUGAGCGUUGCUGGCGCAAACUGUCCUGUACUUUGUUCUCCCAGUUGCAAUAUGAAUGCUAUUGAGUGGAGAAUCGACAUUUAACUUGUGAAAUUUAUUAGGCUCUUAGGCUUUUGAAUUGUAUAUGGUUAUUUCUU